CACCUGGCCAGAGUAGCCACUGUGGCUUUUGAUACCAGGGUCCACGUCCUGGAUUUGGAGAUGUUUUCCUCCCUGGGCCUCUGUGGCACGUUGUCGUGGCUUCUCUCCAGCCUUUGUGACGCAUGGCCUCCGGUCCCAGCUCUUUGGGAAAUCCAGUCCAGUCCUCAGGGCUCAGUGGCCACCUCAGAACUGCCUCUCAGUACACUGGCUGCAGCCCAGCCUCUCCCCUGGACAGUCCCAUGAUCUCCCCUCAUUCCAGCCUGUUCUCCUGUCCCCACAUUUUAAAAACAGGUGCUCUGGGGUGUCGACCUGACUCUGCAGACACAUCACAUGGGCCACCGGAUUGCAGACAGUCAGCAAGGGAAGGUGUUCCCGUGUUCUAGCUGGAUGAGCAGCGGGUGCUGAGAUAGGGAUGCCUGGAGUUGGUCCCUGGAAGGCCUGAAGCGGCGGUGCCCUCCUGGUGGUGAGGGACACUUGGUGCUGGCGCGCCUGCUGUCCGCUCUGCGCUCCGAAGCUUGCCUCGCACGGAAUUGCCCUGCCAGCGAGUUUUAGCGCUUCCCCACGACCAGAGCUCCUCCAUCGAGUGCAAGGCUCGGUCUGCCCGCCUCCACCCUCUCAGCCCCCAGGUGCAGCGCUCAAUGCAACGGGGGCUGAACAUGUUUCGUGGACUCGGCAGGUCCUGGUGGCUCAGGACGGCGCAAAAGAAAUAUCUCCAAGCAACAUCGACCCAAUUUUCAAGGGAAGACAUAAUCCAACCUUGGAAACCUCCAAACACAGAUGAAAACAGGAUUUGGUUUAGCAUUGAAGGACCUUACUAAGAAGUACUCUGACAAGCUAGAAUGUUGUGGAAAUGAAGUGGAGAAGAUAAUUGAAGAAAGAUGAUGCAAAACAAUUGAGCUUGGCACAGGAAAUGAAAAUAGUAAGGCAGCAGGAGUGGCUA
Long non-coding RNA from Myotis brandtii (Brandt's bat), 940 nucleotides. RefSeq lists it as uncharacterized. The transcript has 2 exons. NCBI's taxonomy places the organism in Eukaryota, Metazoa, Chordata, Mammalia, Chiroptera, Vespertilionidae. The record is from RefSeq and is a predicted model, not a curated record.